CCUACGAGUGGCAGCAGUGAGGAAUAUUGGUCAAUGGCCGGGAGUCUGAACCAGCCAAGUCGCGUGAGGGAAGACGGCCCUACGGGUUAUAAACUUCUUUUGUCAGGGAGCAAGGUGCAGGUCGGGACCUGCUGUGAGAGUACCUGAAGAAAAAGCAUCGGCUAACACCGUGCCAGCAGCCGCGGUAAUACGGAGGAUGCGAGCGUUAUCCGGUUUUAUUGGGGUUAAAGGGUGCGCAGGCGGCGGCACAAGUCAGCGGUAAAAGCGCGGGGCUCAACCCCGCUCCGCCUUUGAAACUGUGUCCCUUGAGUGCGCGAAGGGUAGGCGGAAUGCGUGGUGUAGCGGUGAAAUGCAUAGAUAUCACGCAGAACUCCGAUCGCGAAGGCAGCUUACCGGCGCGCAACUGACGCUCAGGCACGAAAGCGUGGGUAUCGAACAGGAUUAGAUACCCUUGUAGUC
This 459-nucleotide ribosomal RNA is filed under the name uncultured bacterium. RNAcentral describes it as "partial 16S ribosomal RNA". It matches the Rfam family "Bacterial small subunit ribosomal RNA", at positions 338 to 795 of the family's 1533-position model. The record is from RNAcentral.